GACGAACGCUGGCGGCGUGCCUAAUACAUGCAAGUAGAACGCAGUUGCGAACGGGUGAGUAACGCGUAGGUAACUGCCUCAUAGCGGGGGAUAACUAUUGGAAACGAUAGCUAAUACCGCCUACUGAGAGAUGGACAUGCGUUUUAUUAGCUAGUUGGGGAGGUAAAGGCUCACCAAGGCGACGAUACAUAGCCGACCUGGGAGGGUGGUCGGCCAAACUGGGGACGAGACACGGGCCAAGCUCCUACGGGGAGCAGGCGGAGGGAAUUGUCGGAAAUGGACGGAAGUCUGACCGAUCAACGCCGCUGUAGGUAAGAAGGUUUUCGGAGCGUAAAGGUCUUUUGUGAGAGAAGCGGUAACUAACCAGAAAGGGACGGCUAACUACGUGCCAGCAGCCGCGGUAAUAC
Molecule: ribosomal RNA, 407 nt
Filed under: uncultured bacterium
Lineage: Bacteria
Description: partial 16S ribosomal RNA
Rfam family: Bacterial small subunit ribosomal RNA
Source: RNAcentral